CCUACGGGAGGCAGCAGUGGGGGAUAUUGCACAAUGGGGGGAACCCUGAUGCAGCGACGCCGCGUGGGUGAAGGAGUGCUUCGGCAUGUAAAGCCCUAUCGGCAGGGAAGAAGCAAGACGGUACCUGACUAAGAAGCCCCGGCUAACUACGUGCCAGCAGCCGCGGUAAUACGUAGGGGGCGAGCGUUAUCCGGAUUCACUGGGUGUAAAGGGAGCGUAGACGGCCAAGCAAGCCAGGGGUGAAAGCCCGGGGCCCAACCCCGGGACUGCCCUUGGAACUGCAUGGCUGGAGUGCGGGAGGGGCAGGCGGAAUUACUGGUGUAGCGGUGAAAUGCGUAGAUAGCAGGAGGAACACCGGCGGCGAAGGCGGCCUGCUGGACCGCGACUGACGUUGAGGCUCGAAAGCGUGGGGAGUGAACAGGAUUAGAUACCCUUGUAGUC
This 441-nucleotide ribosomal RNA is filed under the name uncultured bacterium. Its description in RNAcentral is "partial 16S ribosomal RNA". It matches the Rfam family "Bacterial small subunit ribosomal RNA", at positions 338 to 795 of the family's 1533-position model. The record is from RNAcentral.